RNAcentral lists this ribosomal RNA (776 nucleotides) under uncultured Neocallimastigales. RNAcentral's name for it is "partial large subunit ribosomal RNA". It matches the Rfam family "Eukaryotic large subunit ribosomal RNA", at positions 26 to 644 of the family's 3401-position model. Lineage: Eukaryota; Fungi; Neocallimastigomycota; Neocallimastigomycetes; Neocallimastigales. The record is from RNAcentral.
CGUCUAUAUACGUAUAGCAUAUCAAUAAGCGGAGGAAAAGAAACUAACUAAGAUUCCCUUAGUAACGGCGAGUGAAGCGGGAAGAGCUCAAAUUUGAAAUCUUCAAGGUUCUACCUCGACGAAUUGUAGUUUAAAGAAGUGUUUUCUGUUGGAGUUUUGGUAAAAGUUCUUUGGAAUAGGACAUCAUAGAGGGUGAGAAUCCCGUAUUUGACCAUUAUUUCCAGCUUUGUGAUACACUUUCAAAGAGUCGGAUUGUUUGGGAAUGCAGUCCAAAAUGGGUGGUAAAUUUCAUCUAAAGCUAAAUAUUGGCGAGAGACCGAUAGCGAACAAGUACCGUGAGGGAAAGAUGAAAAGAACUUUGAAAAGAGAGUUAAACAGUACGUGAAAUUGUCAAAAGGGAAGCGUUUGACACCAGUGUUGUUCUUCCGAAAAUCAAUUACGAAUGUUUUGUUUUUGAGGAGUUAUGACUUCAUCGGCUUGCUCCUUUCUUUACGAAACUUUCUUAAUGCACUUUUCGGUUAACAAGUCAACAUCAAUUUCUUUUGUUGUAAAAGGGUCAUGAGGAAGGUGGCUUUCUUUUCGGAGAAAGUGUUUAUAGCCUUGUGCCUCUGCAAUCGGAGAGAUUGAGGUCUGCAGCGUAGAUCCUUCGGGGUUAGGAUACAUUUGUGCUAAGUUAUAGCCUUUCAUAGACAACUUGUUGACUAUGAUCAGUCAUGUAGCUUACUCGCUUAUGCUAUUUUACCUACGCUUAGGAUGUUGACUGAUAUGUAGUCGUA